CCGUGGAUGUGCAGGGACAGGGGCAGUAGCAGAGGCCCUGGGGCGAAGCGGGUGACCCCGUGCUGUGUGUGGGUGUUGGGGGGUGGGGUCUGGGGCCUGAGCAGGUGGCCAUAGGCCGGGGUCCCCAGCGCCAGGUGUUGGGACCUUCUGCCUCGGCCUGCUCUGGCCUGCCUUCCUGAUCGGCCCCUGAGCCUUUCCUCCUCCAUCCACGCUACCCUCAUCUCCGCCAGCGGGUCUCCCAGCUCCACCACUAAUUAACUCUCCCGAGACACACACACACACACACACACACACACACACACACACACACGCGCGCGCGCACCUGCCCCCAUGCUCUGCUCCCCUGCUCGAGCCCUGAGUUAAAUGAGGCCUGGGCCAGCUCCCCUGUCUGUUCCCCAGUGUCACCAGCGUUGCCAGCAGCCUGGUGACCCUGGAUGUUGGCCCCAGCCGCCCUGUGUUCUCCACGCUGGCUCAUGUUGUGUAACCAGCAUGCCUGGGUGUCACCUCCUCGCCUGCUCUUGAGGCCUCUGCCCUGUGCCCUGAACAUGCCAGGACCAGGGGCGACUGAGUCAUGCCCCAGAGGAUGCCGAGUUCUGUAAGUCUCCCCAGUCCCUGCCUGCCUCCCUGAUGAGCCUGGGCCGUGUCCUGCGGGCCCUGAGCUGCGCCCUCCUCUGCCCUGGCCCGGGAGGGGGAUGGGUUUGUCACACAUGCACACUUGCACACACGUGCACAUGCACACCCACAACCUUGGGCUCCGUUGCAGCAGCAGCCAGGUGGGGAGGACAUCCCUGGCGUCCAGCCUGCAACUGCUGAGCAGCGCAUGUCCUGCUGUCUGUCCUCCAUGGUACUGCUGUCAGCCAAGGACAUUGGCACCGCGAGUCCAGAGAGCUUGGCUGAGAAGAUUUUCCCAAGCGAUCGCAGGAGGAAGACAAAGGAGACGGUCUGGAAAGCACAACGCUGUGAGUGUUGGGUGAAAAGGGAGCACAGGCUGAGGGCGUGGGCCUGGGAACCCAUGGAUCUGCAGAGGUCCAUGACACUGACUGCCAACGCAGGCAGUGAGGAGUGAACCCCACACCUGGCUGUUCACAGGAGCGAGUCUGGCUGAAGCUUGCAUGCCGAGGUCAGAGUCACUCACACCCAAAUUCUGUUCUCACAGCUAAAACCUCUUGACUAGGAGGACAGUGUUCUAAUUGCGAUCACUUGUUUACUCUGAUCCUAAUUCGAGAUCGCUCUGUCUCGUCCCUUGUGAGCCUUCUUAACAUUAAUUUCCAUAGAAACCACACAGCGCCUUUACCCCAGCUGAUUGCCAGUAAAAGUCAGUGCCUGGGACCGGCCAGGGCCUUAGUCAGCUGCACCGGCCUCAGGCGUCCUGCCCCCCCCCCC
Molecule: long non-coding RNA, 1383 nt
Filed under: Fukomys damarensis (Damara mole-rat)
Lineage: Eukaryota; Metazoa; Chordata; Mammalia; Rodentia; Bathyergidae
Description: lncRNA (ENSFDAG00000028323.1)
Source: RNAcentral